AUGUCCAAGUUAGUAGUUGUGGAAUGCAUAGAGACCAAACUCUACUUAAAAACUUUAGCCAUAUUCAUCACAAGACAACCUAACACUUGUUCCAAUCUACAUACACCUUCAGAUCAUCAAUUCCCUUUAACAUUGAUUAAGCUCAAACCAUGAAUCAAGCAAAACAUUGUUGAAGAACUCAUUUGGUUUAAAGGACAAGGCUGAGAAACAAAGA
Molecule: long non-coding RNA, 214 nt
Filed under: Arabidopsis lyrata
Lineage: Eukaryota; Viridiplantae; Streptophyta; Magnoliopsida; Brassicales; Brassicaceae
Description: long non-coding RNA (ALYR_LNC000014)
Source: RNAcentral